Molecule: ribosomal RNA, 446 nt
Filed under: uncultured bacterium
Lineage: Bacteria
Description: partial 16S ribosomal RNA
Rfam family: Bacterial small subunit ribosomal RNA
Source: RNAcentral
CCUACGGGAGGCAGCAGUCGAGAAUCAUUCACAAUGGGGGAAACCCUGAUGGUGCGACGCCGCGUGGGGGAAUGAAGGUCUUCGGAUUGUAAACCCCUGUCAUGUGGGAGCAAAUUAAAAAGAUAGUACCACAAGAGGAAGAGACGGCUAACUCUGUUCCAGCAGCCGCGGUAAUACAGAGGUCUCAAGCGUUGUUCGGAAUCACUGGGCGUAAAGCGUGCGUAGGCUGUUUCGUAGGUCGUGUGUGAAAGGCGCGGGCUCAACCCGCGGACGGCACAUGAUACUGCGAGACUAGAGUAAGGGAGGGGGAACCGGAAUUCUCGGUGUAGCAGUGAAAUGCGUAGAUAUCGAGAGGAACACUCGUGGCGAAGGCGGGUUCCUGGACAUUAACUGACGCUGAGGCACGAAGGCCAGGGGAGCGAAAGGGAUUAGAUACCCUAGUAGUC